GUUCUACUGGACUGGAGGCUGGCUACUGUUGUGCCCAUCUACAAGAAAGGUUGCAUGGAGGAUCUGGAGAACUACAGGCCUGUCAGUCUGACAUCAGUGCCAGGGAAAAUCAUGGAACAGGACUCAAAAUCUAGGAACUCUUCCUCAGUGUAUACUGCAGCUAACACUUCAGGAAGAGGAUGCAGAGCUCCUCAGGCUGCAUCUGGGAGGAUUCUGAAGCCACUUUGUAGCAACAUAGACUACAAUGUGCUGCUUCAAGCUGCAAAGCAGUGGGGAUGUUUAUGGCAUGCUAUUUUGUUAUCUGGGUUUGCAUGACUGCACAAGAACUUCCGAACUGCAAAUACAGUCAAUACCCAGCACAGGCAUGACCGGAGCACAUACUGCAUUUGGAGGGGGAUGGAGUCAUCCAACCUGGAUUAUGGAUUCUUGUCAGUGCCCAAACUGGACUGGAUUAUACAGUGGCUGGUACAAGACCAAACCUGAACAAUAUGUCUGUGUUUGGUUUCUCUCAUUCCAUCACUGUGGAUCCAUGCCCAAUCACACGGAUCUCUUCCACAACUCUUCUUCAUUUUAAGGUGGCCUUAAAGUGAGAAGUAAUGCUGCACACGAUAAAUGGGUGCUUUAA
Cuculus canorus (common cuckoo) is the source of this 625-nucleotide long non-coding RNA. RefSeq lists it as uncharacterized. The transcript is spliced from 4 exons. The record is from RefSeq and is a predicted model, not a curated record. NCBI's taxonomy places the organism in Eukaryota, Metazoa, Chordata, Aves, Cuculiformes, Cuculidae.